GCCUGUUCGAGCGUCAUUUAAACCUUCAAGCCCCGCUUGGUCUUGGGCGCAGGUCGACGAGACCCGCCCGUAACUCGUUGGUGGCCGGCUCCGGCCCCGAGCGUAGCAGAAAUCUUUCGCUCGCGGUCCGGCGCCUCCCUCCGGAAACACAUCCAUCAAAGUUUGACCUCGGAUCAGGUAGGGAUACCCGCUGAACUUAA
This 200-nucleotide unclassified non-coding RNA is filed under the name soil metagenome. RNAcentral's name for it is "partial contains internal transcribed spacer 2 and large subunit ribosomal RNA". The record is from RNAcentral.